RNAcentral lists this RNase MRP RNA (277 nucleotides) under Zalophus californianus (California sea lion). RNAcentral describes it as "RNase MRP (ENSZCAG00015025047.1)". It matches the Rfam family "RNase MRP". From Rfam's summary of the family: RNase MRP is an enzymatically active ribonucleoprotein with two distinct roles in eukaryotes. In mitochondria it plays a direct role in the initiation of mitochondrial DNA replication. The record is from RNAcentral. Lineage: Eukaryota; Metazoa; Chordata; Mammalia; Carnivora; Otariidae.
GUUCGCGCUGAAGGCCUGUUUCCUAGGCUACAAACGAGGGACUGGUUCCUUAUUCGUGCCUAGGGGAAAGUCCCCGGACCAUGGGCAGAGAGUGCCGCGUGCGCGUGCACGUUGACUUUCCCUGCUUCACACAAGAAUGUCCGCCAAGAAGCGACCCCACCUGUGGCGGGUGAAGCUGAGCGGCGUGUUGGCUGGGGCGUCAAUCCGUCAGUAUUUCUAGUUACACAGGCAGUGCGCCUGAGCGCAUCAACCACACGGGGCUUAUUCUCAGCGCGGC